RNAcentral lists this small RNA (29 nucleotides) under Bombyx mori (domestic silkworm). RNAcentral describes it as "ovarian small RNA-20573". The record is from RNAcentral. Lineage: Eukaryota; Metazoa; Arthropoda; Insecta; Lepidoptera; Bombycidae.
UACCAGCCAGCCUUAGCAUCAUGUGUAAC